Molecule: ribosomal RNA, 253 nt
Filed under: uncultured bacterium
Lineage: Bacteria
Description: partial 16S ribosomal RNA
Rfam family: Bacterial small subunit ribosomal RNA
Source: RNAcentral
UACGGGGGGGGCAAGCGUUGUUCGGAAUUACUGGGCGUAAAGGGUUUGUAGGUGGCUUGCUAAGUCAGACGUGAAAUCCCUCAGCUUAACUGGGGAACUGCGUCUGAGACUGGCAAGCUUGAGUGCAGGAGAGGAACGCGGAAUUCCAGGUGUAGCGGUGAAAUGCGUAGAUAUCUGGAGGAACACCGGUGGCGAAGGCGGCGUUCUGGACUGCAACUGACACUGAGGAACGAAAGCCAGGGGAGCAAACGGG